Molecule: long non-coding RNA, 1043 nt
Organism: Vicia villosa (hairy vetch)
Lineage: Eukaryota; Viridiplantae; Streptophyta; Magnoliopsida; Fabales; Fabaceae
Exons: 3
Source: RefSeq, a predicted model, not a curated record
AUAAAAAGCGAGAUGAGUGAGAGAGUAAGGUAACAUAAUGCCUCUCAAAAAAUUUCAAAGCAUGUGCAAAAAAAUGAGGUACACCAACCUUGGAUUCUUUUAUACUUCUUUCUUACAUAGUUAUUUCUUAUAUAUAUAAGUACUAUUAUUAAAUGUCAAGAAUGAAAAAGGAUCAUGUGUUUUUAUUAAAAUGAGAAAAACGAAAAUCAUUCAUACAAAACACUCGUCUCUUUUAAACAUGUGAUAAAUUUCAACAACUUCCUUCUCACUCGCUCUCUCAAAUCUAUCUCUCCUCUCCCUUAUAUAAAACCAACUUCAUACACAUUUUUCACUUUCACUUUAAAACCAACUUCUUUAUAAACAAAUAGUUUUCUAGUUUCAAGCUCCUGCACCAACUCAACCUUCUCCAAAUGCAAGGUCUUCACGGAGGUGCUAUUAUUUUGGAGCAAGAGCAUUUGAUCAGAGCAUGAGGCUUUCAAACCAACAAUCAAAGCAUUUGAGCUAGAUUAAAGGUACUCAAGUAUAACUAUGGACGUUUGUAGGUUCAUCGUAUCCAGUUGGUGUGUCGCUCUGAUACGUAGCACUCGAGGGGUUGUCUAUAUUGUUGUUUCUAUGUUGUUCAUGUUUUAGUUGUUGAGUUCCAAAUUGGACAUUGAGAAGUACUAUGAUGUUUGAAUUUGUUUCUGAUUAAAUAAGAUGAUUUGUUUAUAAAGCUGAAUGUUAUGAUUCCGCUGCAUAUUAAAAUGAAGUUGGUUUGUCUAAGAGCUGUUAUAAGUUGUUUUGUAUCUGAGAUUAAAGUGCUAUGUAUCUGUUUAUGAGUUGUUAAUAUGAAGUAAAUGUGAUAUCCCAAAUGCAUUGUUGAUAGUUUUUAAAACACUCUGAUUUCUCGCAUGAUAUUUUUGGGUAGAAUUUGGGGUGUUACACCAUCAUAGGGCUUUCGCCCUUGGGUGAAAUCUUCGACCCAACUCUCCCGACGGAGAUAAACUUCAACUUCACCAACGCUACUAUCACUAAAUACAUGCAGGAUCAUUAUGACAAGUCCA